GAUUUCUGGACAUCAGUUUCUGGCCGGCCACGGUUUCGUGUGUUAGUGCUUGAAGCUUUGUCCAUCCUUCCAAUCGCUAUUGGUGGAUCUUCAUUGAUUCGAUCAGUAGUAUUGGAUCUUUUACUUUGAAAAAAUUAGAGUGUUUCAAGCAGGCUUUAUGCUAUGAAUACAUUAGCAUGGAAUAAUAAUUUAGGACUUCGGUUCUAUUUUGUUGGUUUCUAGGACUGAAGUAAUGAUUGAUAGGGAUAGUUGGGGGUGCUAGUAUUCAGCGGCCAGAGGUGAAAUUCUCGGAUUCGCUGAAGACUAACUUAUGCGAAAGCAUU
RNAcentral lists this ribosomal RNA (323 nucleotides) under Sandona sp. RNAcentral describes it as "SSU rRNA". The stretch from base 113 to 323 matches the Rfam family "Eukaryotic small subunit ribosomal RNA", at positions 744 to 955 of the family's 1831-position model. Lineage: Eukaryota; Cercozoa; Glissomonadida; Sandonidae. The record is from RNAcentral. RNAcentral also lists the same sequence under 1 other name.